Molecule: long non-coding RNA, 691 nt
Organism: Solanum stenotomum
Lineage: Eukaryota; Viridiplantae; Streptophyta; Magnoliopsida; Solanales; Solanaceae
Exons: 3
Source: RefSeq, a predicted model, not a curated record
UUCACGAUAAAUCUCCCUACUGGAACGUACGUUUUCAGAUCUGAGGCGUCGGAUCGCCUUUCGUCGGCAAAAAACGCCGGCAAUUUGUUAUUUUCCGAUUCUAUGUCACCGGAAACGAGUGUUUCCGAAUCAAAUCAUGGAUGUUAAAUUCCUUCGAGCAAAUCGAUGAACCUGUAAAAUCUCAACAGUGAGAAACGAUGGACCUAGAAAAUUAAGAGUAGUCCAGCCCCUGGAGAAUUCCGCAGAGCUGGGCAUUUUGAAUUGAUUGAGUUGGAUCACUGGAGUGGGAGGAAAUCCAAUUACCAAUCAUAAACUCUACACAAAACGUUGUUGUGGUGGUUACUGCGCGUCUUCCUCUUAUUCAUAUGGUUUUGGCAAAACAUGCCUAAGGUAUGGUCCAUAUCAGCGAGUGUAUCAGUGACUUCGACUCGUCCUCAGCUCUAGCCAGUCUCCAGCACAUUAGGUUUCAGGGUGAGCUAUUCAUUCCAGCUCGUGUUGGAUUCUCUUGGUCAUGGCAUGAUGUCCUUAGUUUUCGGACAUAACCUAUUUUAUUCAUUUAUUUUGGUGUCUUUAAUACUCUUAGACUUAGUAUUUGAAGAUUUGAUGUUCUUGAUGUGAUGACUUUCAGAUUUUGGGGAUAAUAAGUGUUAGACUUUAGAGGUUUAUUUGAUAGGUUACUUUAAUAAGUUUU